RNAcentral lists this transfer RNA (72 nucleotides) under Muntiacus reevesi (Reeves' muntjac). It matches the Rfam family "tRNA". From Rfam's summary of the family: Transfer RNA (tRNA) molecules are approximately 80 nucleotides in length. Their secondary structure includes four short double-helical elements and three loops (D, anti-codon, and T loops). Further hydrogen bonds mediate the characteristic L-shaped molecular structure. tRNAs have two regions of fundamental functional importance: the anti-codon, which is responsible for specific mRNA codon recognition, and the 3' end, to which the tRNAs corresponding amino acid is attached (by aminoacyl-tRNA synthetases). tRNAs cope with the degeneracy of the genetic code in two manners: having more than one tRNA (with a specific anti-codon) for a particular amino acid; and 'wobble' base-pairing, i.e. permitting non-standard base-pairing at the 3rd anti-codon position. RNAcentral also lists the same sequence under 3 other names. The record is from Rfam by way of RNAcentral. Lineage: Eukaryota; Metazoa; Chordata; Mammalia; Artiodactyla; Cervidae.
UCCCUUGUGGCUCAGCUGGUAAAGAAUCUGCCUGAAAUGCAGGAGACCUGGGUUCAAUCCCUGGGUUGGGAA